UUUUUUUUUUCCUUUCUCCUAGAAGAGUGCAGGCACACAUUACGCGAAACCCACAGCCUUUCGCGAUACACAGCUCGAAACGCUCUAGUUUAUUUAUAUAGCCCCUCCACCCUCAGCUCUUCCCACCCGUCCCCAAAUUCCCUAGAAAUCCAGCUAAGGCGUGGGGAAGAGGGGAAAGCGGUUUUGGAGGGGAGGGAGUUAUUUAUUUUUGUUUUGUUUGGGGAUUGUUUUGUUUUGUUGGGGUUUUUUUCUUUGCAUACAAAAAUAAGUGAAGAAGAUUUUGCAAGGUGCGGACGCGCCGUCGAGGCCGGAGGCACCGUGGGAGCAGCGAGGGCCGCAGGCAGGGAGCCCGGCACAGCCCCUGUUCUGGACAGAAGGACAGACGUCCGAGGGAAACGAGCAUAACUUCUCAGCUUGGCCACCUUCCAUGUGAUGGAGCAAUGUAGCCGACUUGUGGGUUGACUUAGGCUUGCAUCACCAUCCUGACCCGGGUUGCAUUGGCAGUCAUCUGGAACUGACUACAUGCCUGAACUGAUAAAAGAUGCUGUGGAAAUAUGGAUCUCUGGGGCCUUUGCAAGAUGCUUGUGCCAUAUCCUGUCUCUUUGUUGCUUGGUCCUCUGGAGGACAAAAGAGUGAGAAUCAGCAGUGUGUCACAUAUCCUGCAAACAGUUUGAGAACUGCUUUGACAGCCAGUGGAAGAAAAUAGUGUGAUGUGGUCACAGCAAGCACGUGUUCUUUCUAACAAUUUACAAUUGCACUAUGAUCCCAUUGAGAGUGAUACUCAAACCUCCCUCUGAUUACCUGUUCUUUUCUCUUGCUGUAACAACAUUGUUUCUUUCCAACACAGGAGUGUUUAUGCAGAAAUGCCAAGAUUCUUUAAACAGAUUACAGGAGGUUUACAAAUUAAGGAAAAACUAGUAUGGAACAAGAGGAAAAUAAUCCCAGCAUUUUGCACUUACUUGUAAUCAAAAUCCUGUCUUUGGAGGGUGUUAUGUCAAAUAUACACUUGGUGAGGCCUAUGAGGAUUUUUCCUGUGUAACGGCAAGAGUUAGCCCUAGCAUAUCACACUAUUCUAAAAAUGGUGUCCAGUAAGCAAUAGGUGGCCACUCUUGGAAAAAAAUCAGGAAAAAAUUGGUGAAACCUGGAUCCUCUACAAUGUCACUUUCACAGUUGAGUGACUGACAAACAAAAGCAAAGAAAAAGACCCAGUGGGCUAAGUCACCAUGAGGUUGGAUUCCCCCUGUUGUGGAAUUGAACAAAAUCCAGCAAUGUUUCCUUCUAUUAGGUCUGAUGUAAAUGCUGUAUGGUAAAGACUAAUUUCUAAAAGUCAGCUGUAAACCUACAGGUCAGCCAAUAAGACAGAGACUUGACACGUUUUUCAUUGUGAAGUGUAUGAUAGUUUCAAUCAACAUCACUGCAGACAGUAUAUUGUUGAAUCCAAUGGAAUUGGAAUCCUGCUAUGAAUUUAAUUGUUUUCCACAAGUAGAACAGAAGCCUUUGAUUUCUAUUAAUUAUGAAUCUAUGUGAAAAGCUAUUUUGUGUGUAUAUAUAUUUAACAACAGGAAAUGUAAAACAUAUUUAUUUUUAUUAAACUAAUAAAAGGGAUAAACCUA
Manacus vitellinus (golden-collared manakin) is the source of this 1613-nucleotide long non-coding RNA. RefSeq lists it as uncharacterized. The record is from RefSeq and is a predicted model, not a curated record. The transcript is spliced from 5 exons. Lineage: Eukaryota; Metazoa; Chordata; Aves; Passeriformes; Pipridae.